RNAcentral lists this transfer RNA (87 nucleotides) under Deltaproteobacteria bacterium. RNAcentral's name for it is "tRNA-Leu". It matches the Rfam family "tRNA". Rfam says of the family: Transfer RNA (tRNA) molecules are approximately 80 nucleotides in length. Their secondary structure includes four short double-helical elements and three loops (D, anti-codon, and T loops). Further hydrogen bonds mediate the characteristic L-shaped molecular structure. tRNAs have two regions of fundamental functional importance: the anti-codon, which is responsible for specific mRNA codon recognition, and the 3' end, to which the tRNAs corresponding amino acid is attached (by aminoacyl-tRNA synthetases). tRNAs cope with the degeneracy of the genetic code in two manners: having more than one tRNA (with a specific anti-codon) for a particular amino acid; and 'wobble' base-pairing, i.e. permitting non-standard base-pairing at the 3rd anti-codon position. Lineage: Bacteria; Pseudomonadati; Myxococcota; Myxococcia. The record is from RNAcentral.
GCCGAAGUGGUGGAAUUUGGUAGACACGCAGUGUUGAGGGCGCUGUGGGGAACUCCCGUGCCGGUUCGAUUCCGGCCUUCGGCACCA